CAGCUUCUCCCUGUACCAAGCACUGCCACGCAGCACCAGAGAGCCAUGAGUACGUAAGGAGAGCCCAGCAGUGUCAGACUUUUUGACGCGUUUUGAGUGUUGUUGGGGUGUUUUGAGUGCAUUAUGGAGUGUUUUUGUGUGUGGUUGUAUUGAGGUGCUGUGAGUGUGUUUUUAGUUUAUUUUGGGUGUUUUAAGUGUUUUGGGUGAGUUUGGGUGUGUGUGUGGUCUAUUGGGCGUAUUUGAGAGUGUGUGGCGUGUUCUGAGUGCGUUUGGGUGUGUUAGGGGCAUAUUCUGUGGUGAUGUGCGUGUUUUGGAUAUUUUAAUCGUGAUUUAAAUGUGUUUGGAUGAGUUUUGUGGGUAGUUUGGCGUGUUUUGUGUGUGUUUUGGAUGUUUUGAGUGUGUUUGGGUGAGUUUUGUGGGUAGUUUGGUGUGUUGUUGUCCCUAGGAAGGAGAGAAAGCGAGAUAAGACGGGACAUCAUGGUAAGCCUAACAUUUCUGCCAAUAUUACAGGAUACCACACGGAGGGGUGGUGAAGGAGCUUUGGGGAUGGCUGAAGGAAAGGCAGUGAAGGAGGGAGGCCUGGAGGUGAAGGAAAUGCAGAAAAUUCCUCUAAUACUGAGCGCUUCUCUGGUCAGACCAUCCUUCACUGAAUAUUUGGACCGACGCUUCGAGAUACGAGUGAGCCAGGUGACCCCCAGAACAGCGCGAUCCUGCCUACUUGUGGUGUGGGAGCCCUGAUCGUCCCCUUUCCUCCCUCCUCCUCCUCCUCCUCCUCUUCCCCCUCCAGCAUAGAAGAGACGUUUAAUCAGCUGGUGGACAGCGCUUCCUCCGCCCCCCUGUCAGAUAUGGAGGGGUUGGGGAAAGGAUGCCGUGUCCCUGAGUCUGCCCCUGACUGGCCAGCUGACGCCCAUUGAUAUCUCCAUGGCAGUGGUGAGGCAGGAGAUGACUCAAGCACCAGUGGGGACAGGUGCGUGCUACGCCAGCUGUGGGCUGCCAGCUUCACCUGGUGCGUGGACAUGUCCUGCACUUGGGGCGUGGCCGCCGUGAACAUGUUCCACAGCCGCGAAGUCCUGGCUGUGUAGGUACGCUGGUGUUGGCUAGAGCGAGAUCGAGGCACCUUCACUAGCUCGUCGCUACUGGCCGCAGCUCUGGUGCACCUCUUCACUGUGUGUGGCAGCAACCUCAGGGAGUCAAGGUGAGGGACCCUCUGCACCUGAGUUUUGUGUAUUGAGGUGUGAGUGUGUUU
Scylla paramamosain (green mud crab) is the source of this 1246-nucleotide long non-coding RNA. RefSeq lists it as uncharacterized. Lineage: Eukaryota; Metazoa; Arthropoda; Malacostraca; Decapoda; Portunidae. The record is from RefSeq and is a predicted model, not a curated record. The transcript is spliced from 4 exons.